This 395-nucleotide ribosomal RNA is filed under the name uncultured bacterium. RNAcentral's name for it is "partial 16S ribosomal RNA". It matches the Rfam family "Bacterial small subunit ribosomal RNA", at positions 338 to 730 of the family's 1533-position model. The record is from RNAcentral.
CCUACGGGAGGUAGCAGUGAGGAAUAUUGGUCAAUGGGCGCGAGCCUGAACCAGCCAAGUAGCGUGAAGGAUGACUGCCCUACGGGUUGUAAACUUCUUUUAUAAAGGAAUAAAGUGAGGCACGUGUGCCUGUUUGUAUGUACUUUAUGAAUAAGGAUCGGCUAACUCCGUGCCAGCAGCCGCGGUAAUACGGAGGAUCCGAGCGUUAUCCGGAUUUAUUGGGGUUAAAGGGAGCGUAGAGGGGUUGUUAAGUCAGUUGUGAAAGUUUGCGGCUCAACCGGAGAAUUGCAAUUGAUACUGGAAGCCUUGAGUGCAGUUGAGGUAGGCGGAAUUCGUGGUGUAGCGGUGAAAUGCUUAGAUAUCACGAAGAACCCCGAUUGCGAAGGCAGCUUACU